CAGUCGCCACGGUAAUACGUAGGUGGCAAGCGUUGUCCGGAAUUAUUGGGCGUAAAGGGCUCGCAGGCGGUUUUUUAAGUCUGAUGUGAAAGCCCACGGCUCAACCGUGGAGGGUCAUUGGAAACUGGAAAACUUGAGUGCAGAAGAGGAAAGUGGAAUUCCAUGUGUAGCGGUGAAAUGCGCAGAGAUAUGGAGGAACACCAGUGGCGAAGGCGACUUUCUGGUCUGUAACUGACGCUGAUGUGCGAAAGCGUGGGGAUCAAACAGGAUUAGAUACCCGAGUAGUCCCUGUCUCUUAUAC
Molecule: ribosomal RNA, 301 nt
Filed under: uncultured bacterium
Lineage: Bacteria
Description: partial 16S ribosomal RNA
Rfam family: Bacterial small subunit ribosomal RNA
Source: RNAcentral